GUGCUUUCAUUUAUUUAUUGUAACACUUACCAUUUCUCAAAAAAUAUUUGAAAUACUCCCAUUUAAUAAAGGCGUGAAUGGUACAACUGGAAGAUAAUACAAGAGGUCACUCGAGAUGUUCUAAUUAAGUCUAGUGUAGAAACCUCUAAAAGCAUCAAUCUGAUAGCGUGACACUAUGAUAAUUACAGGUGUUUAAAGGAGACAAGAUAAACCUAAAGCUUCGGGAAACGAAGUAGUUUCAAUAGACCUACAAUCUCUAGCAUUUCAUGCAAGGUUAGCAAAGAACAAAACAGUAGAGACAAAGUAUCCAUGUGGGGGAUACCAACUAGCUGGGAUAAAGGUUUAGUUGUUGGUACACUUACAUCAAGUCUAGUGUUUAUUAGGAGUCCAUUCAGUUUGGUUAAAAAUUUGUCUAUGAAAGGAUAAGUGUGAAUUCACUAUUUUAGGUAAACCCUACUAUGUCUUAAAAAGAAAUUGUCUAUGAAAGGAUAAGUGUGAAUUCACACCAACUAGCUGGGAUAAAGGUUUAGUUGUUGGUACACUUACAUCAAGUCUAGUGUUUAUUAGGAGUCCAUUCAGUUUGGUUAAAAAUUUGUCUAUGAAAGGAUAAGUGUGAAUUCACUAUUUUAGGUAAACCCUACUAUGUCUUAAAAAGAAAUUAUUGAGUACAGAAAAUGAAAUGAUCUCAAAAGGAAUUGAAUAAAUACACAGAAUUCAUAUAAUCAAUCCCUACUACUUUCGGAAUUGAGGCGUAGUAUUUGGCACAAAAAAACCAAAAGAGAUAGAUCUAUUAAAGAAUAGGUGGUUUCUCAGAAAUAUAUCACCAACUAUGGUGUUCAAAAGGCUGCAGAUUGAGCAAAUCAAGGAUGUAAUAGCGCCUCGGCCAACCCUAUAGAACUUAAUAAGAUGCUUCCUAAUGGUAAGCUAGCUUUAUAUGAACACAGGACUUAUCUAAAGAAGCCUCACAAAAUAUGAAAACCAUGCAAGUAAACUCAUCUCAGCCAGCAAGAAAAUUUUUAAGUCCUCAAAAUUUGUAAUAACCAAUGGGCAAGGCUACUAAAAGCACGUAGUAUCUUCAAAUUAUAAUUACAAGCCCAACAAUCCAUCUUCUUGCUCUAUACAGUUUGUGUUAGGUAAAACCCAGA
Molecule: long non-coding RNA, 1145 nt
Filed under: Nicotiana benthamiana
Lineage: Eukaryota; Viridiplantae; Streptophyta; Magnoliopsida; Solanales; Solanaceae
Description: long non-coding RNA (NBEN_LNC032331)
Source: RNAcentral